This is a long non-coding RNA of Oncorhynchus tshawytscha (Chinook salmon), 1420 nucleotides long. The record is from Ensembl. Lineage: Eukaryota; Metazoa; Chordata; Actinopteri; Salmoniformes; Salmonidae.
CUGGUACAUACUGCAAUAUGAUGGCACAUCCCGCUGUGACACCAGUGGUGCAAGUGUCUUUUUUAAUCAAGAAAAUUCCUAGAGCUAACCAAUUCAUAUAGUUGAAACAUAGGGGAUCUGGACACAUUUGGACAGGAUGCUAAUCUUAGCCCACUUCGCAUUGCUGCUUAUUUGGGGAAGCCAAGUUAAAAUAAAUUCCUCAACUUUUUUACUUGACGUGUUUUCAGUUUCUGGCAAAAAGAUGAUAAUCAAAUGUCCUCAAGCUAUAUAUUUAUAUCCACGGCCUACUAACUGAAGAAUUGUUGCCUUAAUUUAUGCCCUUUUCAUUCAAUUCAGUAACCUGUACCGACCUGCAGAAACAGCAUGAAGUCAUCCAUGCAGCAGUUGGAGAACCUUUAGUGUUGAACUGCAACUACAACUGCUCCUCUGGAUUUGUCCGUGGACACUGGGUCAAACUCCCAGACUGUCCUCAUUGUCCUAGGCCAAGGGAAACAAAAAAUGUCACAAAGAAUGGUGACCUCUGCACACUACCAUUGUAUUUUCCACAUCUGUCCAGGGAAGAUUUUCAGUACAACUAUACCUGCUUUUCUGAAGAUCAUGAAAGUGAACAGUUCCCAUGCAAGAUAGUGUCUGGUAUCACUGCAGGCACAAGCUCGACCUAGUGCCCCGGACACAACGGACACUACUGAUGAAUCGCUGACAGCGUUGGGUAACCAUGAGGACUCAAUAAUAGAUCACGAGAAAUUCACAGGCGUCAAGGUGUUGGCAACAGUGACAGUUAUUGUGGCUGCGGUGUUGGCAGCCGUGGCUGUCUCCUUAUGCAUGAGCCGCAGUCGAUAUAGCAAAGGAAAACCUGCUGUUAUCUGUACAGGGUAUGUUUUUUUUCUUCAAUGUGGUAUGUUUGCUAAGGCAUUUUAACACACUUUUCAUUGGCAAUUAGUAUGCGGACUCCAUAUGUGGAAUUUGUUUAUUGGUCUUUUAUCAGCACAACAUCAAGAGAAGGAUCAGAUGCAUGCUCAACCAAUUGUGAGAGGGUGGCACUGCGAAUAACUCCGGCUGAUUGCCAGAGUGAUCAUGAGGUUCCUUACACUGACAUUAUGAUUACUAUGCGAGGGGCCAGCACACCAGAGCUCACACAGAUCUCCUACCUAGCUCCGGGGGACCAUAGAGAGAGGUGGAGAGAAGAGGCAGGCCCUGGCCCCAGCACCGGCCCUGAAGCUAGAUCCCACCUGCAGGCCUCCCGCUCAGCUGACAGACUGCAUGUUCAGCCCCUAGAAUUUUCAAGGAAGAUGAGCAAAACUCUGAGUAUGCUGGUAUCACCUACUCUUAACCAGUGGGGAUGGAGAAAGGGUAAAAGAGUGAACAAGAGAGAGCAAGUGAGACAUGACCAUCACUGUACUCAUGUUAAUAUAAUAUUCCC